Molecule: ribosomal RNA, 440 nt
Filed under: uncultured bacterium
Lineage: Bacteria
Description: partial 16S ribosomal RNA
Rfam family: Bacterial small subunit ribosomal RNA
Source: RNAcentral
CCUACGGGUGGCAGCAGUGGGGGAUAUUGCACAAUGGGGGAAACCCUGAUGCAGCGACGCCGCGUGAGUGAAGAAGUAUUUCGUUAUGUAAAGCUCUAUCAGCAGGGAAGAAAAUAACGGGUCCUUAGUUAGAAGCCCCGGCUAACUACGUGCCAGCAACCGCGGUAAUACGUAGGGGGCAAGCGUUAUCCGGAUUUACUGGGUGGAAAGGGAGCGUAGACGGCAGUGCAAGUCUGGAGUGAAAGGCCGGGGCUCAACCCCCGGACUGCUCUGGAAACUGUACGGCUGGAGUGCAGGAGAGGUAAGUGGAAUUCCUGGUGUAGCGGUGAAAUGCGUAGAUAUUAGGAGGAACACCAGUGGCGAAGGCGGCUUACUGGACUGUAACUGACGUUGAGGCUCGAAAGCGUGGGGAGCGAACAGGAUUAGAUACCCUUGUAGUC